AUUGAACGCUGGCGGCAGGCUUAACACAUGCAAGUCGAGCGGAGAUGAGGUGCUUGCACCUUAUCUUAGCGGCGGACGGGUGAGUAAUGCUUAGGAAUCUGCCUAUUAGUGGGGGACAACAUUCCGAAAGGAAUGCUAAUACCGCAUACGUCCUACGGGAGAAAGCAGGGGAUCCUCGGACCUUGCGCUAAUAGAUGAGCCUAAGUCGGAUUAGCUAGUUGGUGGGGUAAAGGCCUACCAAGGCGACGAUCUGUAGCGGGUCUGAGAGGAUGAUCCGCCACACUGGGACUGAGACACGGCCCAGACUCCUACGGGAGGCAGCAGUGGGGAAUAUUGGACAAUGGGGGGAACCCUGAUCCAGCCAUGCCGCGUGUGGGAAGAAGGCCUUAUGGUUGUAAAGCACUUUAAGCGAGGAGGAGGCUACUGAGACUAAUACUCUUGGAUAGUGGACGUUACUCGCAGAAUAAGCACCGGCUAACUCUGUGCCAGCAGCCGCCGUAA
Molecule: ribosomal RNA, 501 nt
Filed under: uncultured bacterium
Lineage: Bacteria
Description: partial 16S ribosomal RNA
Rfam family: Bacterial small subunit ribosomal RNA
Source: RNAcentral